This 786-nucleotide ribosomal RNA is filed under the name Enterococcus sp. baku-17. RNAcentral describes it as "bacterial SSU rRNA". It matches the Rfam family "Bacterial small subunit ribosomal RNA", at positions 24 to 784 of the family's 1533-position model. The record is from RNAcentral. Lineage: Bacteria; Bacillati; Bacillota; Bacilli; Lactobacillales; Enterococcaceae.
UCAGGACGAACGCUGGCGGCGUGCCUAAUACAUGCAAGUCGAACGCUUCUUUUUCCACCGGAGCUUGCUCCACCGGAAAAAGAGGAGUGGCGAACGGGUGAGUAACACGUGGGUAACCUGCCCAUCAGAAGGGGAUAACACUUGGAAACAGGUGCUAAUACCGUAUAACAAUCGAAACCGCAUGGUUUUGAUUUGAAAGGCGCUUUCGGGUGUCGCUGAUGGAUGGACCCGCGGUGCAUUAGCUAGUUGGUGAGGUAACGGCUCACCAAGGCCACGAUGCAUAGCCGACCUGAGAGGGUGAUCGGCCACAUUGGGACUGAGACACGGCCCAAACUCCUACGGGAGGCAGCAGUAGGGAAUCUUCGGCAAUGGACGAAAGUCUGACCGAGCAACGCCGCGUGAGUGAAGAAGGUUUUCGGAUCGUAAAACUCUGUUGUUAGAGAAGAACAAGGAUGAGAGUAACUGUUCAUCCCUUGACGGUAUCUAACCAGAAAGCCACGGCUAACUACGUGCCAGCAGCCGCGGUAAUACGUAGGUGGCAAGCGUUGUCCGGAUUUAUUGGGCGUAAAGCGAGCGCAGGCGGUUUCUUAAGUCUGAUGUGAAAGCCCCCGGCUCAACCGGGGAGGGUCAUUGGAAACUGGGAGACUUGAGUGCAGAAGAGGAGAGUGGAAUUCCAUGUGUAGCGGUGAAAUGCGUAGAUAUAUGGAGGAACACCAGUGGCGAAGGCGGCUCUCUGGUCUGUAACUGACGCUGAGGCUCGAAAGCGUGGGGAGCAACAGAUAGAUA